This 814-nucleotide long non-coding RNA is filed under the name Sarcophilus harrisii (Tasmanian devil). RNAcentral describes it as "lncRNA (ENSSHAG00000026061.1)". Lineage: Eukaryota; Metazoa; Chordata; Mammalia; Dasyuromorphia; Dasyuridae. The record is from RNAcentral.
AUGUGGGAAAGCGGGCCCUCUUCAGGGAAUACAGGAAACUUUGGAUCUCCUCGCCUCGUUCCUGGAAUGGUCCAGACCUGGAAGAUGCCCCGGGCUAGACACAGUGAAAGUGGGAUUACUGAGUCUGAAACCCUGGAAGCCCAGAGAAUCCCUCCAUCCUGAAGCUCCUUAAGCCACGGAGCCAUCCGGGCGACAGAGUCCAUGCUGCUCUAACUACUGCCCCGCACGGCCCCUCCAGAACGCUGGCUCGCAGGGAGGGGCCCCGGCAGAGCCUGUGCUUGCAUCGCCCUGGGAUGCUGCUCUGUAAAGAACAGGAAGCCGCAGAAAAGGGGGGAAGGACCGAGGACCCCGGGCCAGCGGCGCUUCUGCAAAUGCCCACUGCCCACCCGAGCCGCUCAGGAAGUGCUUCCUGUCUGCAGAGGGAGCUGGGCCCAGGCCUCGGGCCAGAGCUUCUCUCAGGGCAAAAUUAGAAAUGCCUGCUGCCGCCAGGUGCUCCGCAAAUAUGAGAUGCCCCCAUUUCACAGAGGAGGAGACUGAGGCCGUCUGAGGUGGAACAAUCCGACCAGCGCCACAUAGCCAGUAAGUAUCCAAAAGUGGAUCUGAAUUCCCUUUUUUUACUCCAGUCCCAGCAACUUAUCUCCUGCGCCACUAAAAAAAGUCUCAAUUGAUUUCUAAAAUUCAGUUUUAUUUUAUUUUAGUUCUGAAUUCUUUCUCUUCCUUCCCCCACACAUGGAGAAGGCAAAAAAAGCAAACCGCAAACAUACAACCACCGACCAUCCUCCCGCAUGAGCCCGUGCACAAACAGGGAAAGUGA